GCAACGCGAAGAACCUUACCUGGUCUUGACAUCCCGGAGACCCUUAGGAAACUAGGGGUGCUUCCAUCUGGAAGAAUCUGGAGACAGGUGCUGCAUGGCUGUCGUCAGCUCGUGUCGUGAGAUGUUGGGUUAAGUCCCGCAACGAGCGCAACCCUUGCCUUUAGUUGCCAGCAGUUCGGCUGGGCACUCUAAAGGGACUGCCGGUGUUAAACCGGAGGAAGGUGGGGAUGACGUCAAGUCCUCAUGGCCUUUAUGACCAGGGCUACACACGUACUACAAUGGCCGAUACAAAGGGCAGCGACACUGCGAGGUGAAGCCAAUCCCGUAAAAUCGGUCUCAGUCCGGAUUGGAGUCUGCAACUCGACUGCGUGAAGUCGGAAUCGCUAGUAAUCGUGAAUCAGAAUGUCACGGUGAAUACGUUCCCGGGCCUU
Molecule: ribosomal RNA, 431 nt
Filed under: uncultured Desulfobulbus sp.
Lineage: Bacteria; Pseudomonadati; Thermodesulfobacteriota; Desulfobulbia; Desulfobulbales; Desulfobulbaceae
Description: bacterial SSU rRNA
Rfam family: Bacterial small subunit ribosomal RNA
Source: RNAcentral